CCCUUAGAUGUUCUGGGCCGCACGCGCGCUACACUGAUGGGUUCAUCGAGCUUACAACCUUGACUGACAGGUCUGGGUAAUCUUUUUAAAGCCCAUCGUGCUGGGGAUAGAUUAUUGCAAUUCUUAAUCUUCAACGAGGAAUUCCUAGUAAACGCAAGUCAUCAACUUGCAUUGAUUACGUCCCUGCCCUUUGUACACACCGCCCGUCGCUACUACCGAUUGAAUGGUUUAGUGAGCUCUACGGACUGUCGCCUGCCUUUGGGUUUCCUUCGGUAGGCAGCGGGAAGUAGAUCAAACUUGAUCAUUUAGAGGAAGUAAAAGUCGUAACA
RNAcentral lists this ribosomal RNA (329 nucleotides) under uncultured eukaryote. RNAcentral's name for it is "partial 18S ribosomal RNA". It matches the Rfam family "Eukaryotic small subunit ribosomal RNA", at positions 1470 to 1796 of the family's 1831-position model. The record is from RNAcentral.